CUCUGGGCUGUUACUGACGCUGAGAAGCGAAAGCAUGGGGAGCGAACAGGAUUAGAUACCCUGGUAGUCCAUGCCGUAAACGUUGGGCACUAGGUGUGGGGGACAUUCCACGUUUUCCGCGCCGUAGCUAACGCAUUAAGUGCCCCGCCUGGGGAGUACGGCCGCAAGGCUAAAACUCAAAGGAAUUGACGGGGGCCCGCACAAGCGGCGGAGCAUGCGGAUUAAUUCGAUGCAACGCGAAGAACCUUACCAAGGCUUGACAUGGACCGGACCGCUGCAGAGAUGUAGCUUCCCUUCGGGGCUGGUUCACAGGUGGUGCAUGGUUGUCGUCAGCUCGUGUCGUGAGAUGUUGGGUUAAGUCCCGCAACGAGCGCAACCCUUGUCCUAUGUUGCCAGCACGUAAAGGUGGGGACUCAUGGGAGACUGCCGGGGUCAACUCGGAGGAAGGUGGGGAUGACGUCAAAUCAUCAUGCCCCUUAUGUCUUGGGCUUCACGCAUGCUACAAUGGCCGGUACAGUGGGUUGCGAUACUGUGAGGUGGAGCUAAUCCCUAAAAGCCGGUCUCAGUUCGGAUCGAAGUCUGCAACUCGACUUCGUGAAGUUGGAGUCGCUAGUAAUCGCAGAUCAGCAACGCUGCGGUGAAUACGUUCCCGGGCCUUGUACACACCGCCCGUCAAGCCAUGGAA
Molecule: ribosomal RNA, 685 nt
Filed under: uncultured bacterium
Lineage: Bacteria
Description: bacterial SSU rRNA
Rfam family: Bacterial small subunit ribosomal RNA
Source: RNAcentral